AUAUCUAAGGUUUCCAGAGUAAAGCUGAUCUGCUCUGGGUAAGUCGGGGCCUAAGGCGAGGUCGAAAGACGUAGUCGAUGGAUAACAGGUUGAAAUUCCUGUACUAUCCUGUAACAGAACUGUGGGGACACAGGCAGAGAGCGUGAGCCGGGAAUGGAAAGACCGGUACAAGCGAGGUAGGAGAAGAGUUGGCAAAUCCGCUCUUCAAUCUGAAGACGUGAUGUGGACUGAAAAUAAGUAGGGAAGCACGUGAGCUGACUGUCAAGAAAAGCCGCUAUUGUUUGCAGGAUACCCGAACCGUAAACCGACACAGGUGGAUGAGGAGAGAAUCCUAAGGCCGACGGGAGAAGCAUUGUUAAGGAACUCGGCAAAAUGACUCCGUAACUUCGGGAGAAGGAGUGCCAGUAAGGUGGCCGCAGAGAAUUGGCCCAAGCAACUGUUUAGCAAAAACACAGGUCUAUGCAAAACCGAAAGGUGAGGUAUAUGGGCUGACGCCUGCCCGGUGCUGGAAGGUUAAGGGGAGAGGUUAGCGCAAGCGAAGCUUUGAACUUAAGCCCCAGUAAACGGCGGCCGUAACUAUAACGGUCCUAAGGUAGCGAAAUUCCUUGUCGGGUAAGUUCCGACCCGCACGAAAGGCGUAAUGAUUUGGGCACUGUCUCAACAAUGCACCCGGCGAAAUUGAAAUACCAGUGAAGAUGCUGGUUACCUGCGCCAGGACGGAAAGACCCCAUGGAGCUUUACUCCAGCUUGAUACUGGGAUUCGGUAUUGCAUGUACAGGAUAGGUGGGAGGCUAGGAAAUGGUAACGCCAGUUGCCAUGGAGCCAAUGUUGGGAUACCACCCUUGCAGUACUGGGUUUCUAACCAGCAGCCGUGAUCCGGCUGGGGGACAAUGUCAGGUGGGGAGUUUGACUGGGGCGGUCGCCUCCGAAAGGGUAUCGGAGGCGCUCAAAGGUUCCCUCAGAAUGGUUGGAAACCAUUCGAAGAGUGCAAAGGCAGAAGGGAGCUUGACUGCGACACCGACGGGUGGAGCAGGUACGAAAGUAGGACUUAGUGAUCCGGUGGUAUAAAGUGGGAUUGCCAUCGCUCAACGGAUAAAAGCUACCCUGGGAUAACAGGCUUAUCACUCCCAAGAGUUCACAUCGACGGAGUGGUUUGGCACCUCGAUGUCGGCUCAUCGCAUCCUGGGGCUGAAGUAGGUCCCAAGGGUUGGGCUGUUCGCCCAAUAAAGCGGUACGCGAGCUGGGUUCAGAACGUCGUGAGACAGUUCGGUCCCUAUCCGGCGUGGGCGUAAGAUAUUUGAGAGGAGCUGUCCUUAGUACGAGAGGACCGGGAUGGACUGGCCGCUGGUGUAUCUGUUGUCUUACCAAAGGCAUAGCAGAGUAGCCAAGCCGGGAAGGGAUAAACGCUGAAGGCAUCUAAGCGUGAAGCCCCCCUCAAGAUGAGAUAUCUCAUAACGUCAAGUUAGUAAGACCCCUUGAAGACGACGAGGUAGAUAGGGCAGAGGUGGAAGUGUGGUAACACAUGGAGCUGACUGUUACUAAUAGGUCGAGGGCAUAACC
This 1560-nucleotide ribosomal RNA is filed under the name metagenome. Its description in RNAcentral is "bacterial LSU rRNA". It matches the Rfam family "Bacterial large subunit ribosomal RNA", at positions 1341 to 2925 of the family's 2925-position model. The record is from RNAcentral.